AGAGGCGAUGAAGGACGUGCUAAUCUGCGAUAAGCGCCGGUAAGGUGAUAUGAACCGUUAUAACCGGCGAUUUCCGAAUGGGGAAACCCAGUGUGAUUCGUCACACUAUCAUUAACUGAAUCCAUAGGUUAAUGAGGCGAACCGGGGGAACUGAAACAUCUAAGUACCCCGAGGAAAAGAAAUCAACCGAGAUUCCCCCAGUAGCGGCGAGCGAACGGGGAGGAGCCCAGAGCCUGAAUCAGCAUAUGUGUUAGUGGAAGCGUCUGGAAAGGCGCGCGAUACAGGGUGACAGCCCCGUACACAAAAGCGCAUGUGCUGUGAGCUCGAUGAGUAGGGCGGGACACGUGGUAUCCUGUCUGAAUAUGGGGGGACCAUCCUCCAAGGCUAAAUACUCCUGACUGACCGAUAGUGAACCAGUACCGUGAGGGAAAGGCGAAAAGAACCCCGGCGAGGGGAGUGAAACAGAACCUGAAACCGUGUACGUACAAGCAGUGGGAGCCCCACCACUAAGCCAGUGGUGAACUCCACAUACGCAUCCUUUGCUGAGGAUACGGUUAGCGGAGCGAAAGCGACGUUCAACCUCAAAAGAAGCAGAGGGGGCUUAGUGGUGGGGUGACUGCGUACCUUUUGUAUAAUGGGUCAGCGACUUAUAUUCUGUAGCAAGGUUAACCGUAUAGGGGAGCCGAAGGGAAACCGAGUCUUAACCGGGCGUUAAGUUGCAGGGUAUAGACCCGAAACCCGGUGAUCUAGCCAUGGGCAGGUUGAAGGUUGGGUAACACUAACUGGAGGACCGAACCGACUAAUGUUGAAAAAUUAGCGGAUGACCUGUGGCUGGGGGUGAAAGGCCAAUCAAACCGGGAGAUAGCUGGUUCUCCCCGAAAGCU
This 884-nucleotide ribosomal RNA is filed under the name Salmonella enterica. Its description in RNAcentral is "partial 23S ribosomal RNA". It matches the Rfam family "Bacterial large subunit ribosomal RNA", at positions 42 to 867 of the family's 2925-position model. The record is from RNAcentral. Lineage: Bacteria; Pseudomonadati; Pseudomonadota; Gammaproteobacteria; Enterobacterales; Enterobacteriaceae.